RNAcentral lists this ribosomal RNA (656 nucleotides) under uncultured archaeon. Its description in RNAcentral is "bacterial SSU rRNA". It matches the Rfam family "Archaeal small subunit ribosomal RNA", at positions 222 to 879 of the family's 1478-position model. The record is from RNAcentral.
UGAUUAGGUAGUUGUUGAGGUAAUGGCCCAACAAGCCGAUGAUCAGUAGGGGCUCUUAGCGGAGUCGCCCCGAGAGGGAAUCUGAGACACUAUUCCCAGCUCUACGGAGUGCAGCAGUCGCGAAUCUUUUGCAAUACACGUAAGUGUGACAAAGCGAGCCAAGGUGUUUUCCGCACGGGAAAACUUUUGCCAGCUGUAAAAAGGCUGGCGAAUAAGGACUGGGCAAGACUGGUGCCAGCCGCCGCGGUAAUCCCAGCAGUCCAAGUUGCAGCCAGCUUUAUUGGGUCUAAAACAUCCGUAGCUUGUUUAACAAGUCUCUUGUAAAAUCUGACAUCUUAAAUGUCAGGCUGCAGGAGAUACUGUUAGGCUUGAGACCGGUAGAUGUAAGGAGUACACUUAAGGUAGUGGUAAAUACGUUAAUCUUAGGUGGACUAACAAUCGAGCGAAGGCACCUUACAAGGACGGAUCUGACAGUGAGGGAUGAAGGCUAGGGGCGCAAAACGGAUUAGAUACCCGUGUAGUCCUAGCAGUAAACACUGCUCACUAAACAUCGGGCUCUCUUCGGGAGAAUUCGGUGCUGUAGCGAAGGCGAAGAGUGAGCUACCUGGGAAGUAUAGUCGCAAGAUCGAAACUUAAAGGAAUUGGCGGGGGAGCAC